RNAcentral lists this ribosomal RNA (1194 nucleotides) under Vreelandella alkaliphila. RNAcentral describes it as "bacterial SSU rRNA". It matches the Rfam family "Bacterial small subunit ribosomal RNA", at positions 266 to 1455 of the family's 1533-position model. Lineage: Bacteria; Pseudomonadati; Pseudomonadota; Gammaproteobacteria; Oceanospirillales; Halomonadaceae. The record is from RNAcentral.
UCCCCAAGCAACGAUCCGUAGCUGUCUGAGAGGAUGAUCAGCCACAUCGGGACUGAGACACGGCCCGAACUCCUACGGGAGGCAGCAGUGGGAAUAUUGGACAAUGGGCGAAAGCCUGAUCCAGCCAUGCCGCGUGGUGAAGAAGGCCCUCGGGUUGUAAAGCACUUUCAGCGAGGAAGAACGCCUAGUGGUUAAUACCCAUUAGGAAAGACAUCACUCGCAGAAGAAGCACCGGCUAACUCCGUGCCAGCAGCCGCGGUAAUACGGAGGGUGCAAGCGUUAAUCGGAAUUACUGGGCGUAAAGCGCGCGUAGGUGGCUUGAUAAGCCGGUUGUGAAAGCCCCGGGCUCAACCUGGGAACGGCAUCCGGAACUGUCAAGCUAGAGUGCAGGAGAGGAAGGUAGAAUUCCCGGUGUAGCGGUGAAAUGCGUAGAGAUCGGGAGGAAUACCAGUGGCGAAGGCGGCCUUCUGGACUGACACUGACACUGAGGUGCGAAAGCGUGGGUAGCAAACAGGAUUAGAUACCCUGGUAGUCCACGCCGUAAACGAUGUCGACCAGCCGUUGGGUGCCUAGCGCACUUUGUGGCGAAGUUAACGCGAUAAGUCGACCGCCUGGGGAGUACGGCCGCAAGGUUAAAACUCAAAUGAAUUGACGGGGGCCCGCACAAGCGGUGGAGCAUGUGGUUUAAUUCGAUGCAACGCGAAGAACCUUACCUACUCUUGACAUCCUGCGAACUUGUGAGAGAUCACUUGGUGCCUUCGGGAACGCAGAGACAGGUGCUGCAUGGCUGUCGUCAGCUCGUGUUGUGAAAUGUUGGGUUAAGUCCCGUAACGAGCGCAACCCUUGUCCUUAUUUGCCAGCGGGUAAUGCCGGGAACUCUAAGGAGACUGCCGGUGACAAACCGGAGGAAGGUGGGGACGACGUCAAGUCAUCAUGGCCCUUACGAGUAGGGCUACACACGUGCUACAAUGGCCGGUACAAAGGGUUGCGAGCUCGCGAGAGUCAGCUAAUCCCGAAAAGCCGGUCUCAGUCCGGAUCGGAGUCUGCAACUCGACUCCGUGAAGUCGGAAUCGCUAGUAAUCGUGAAUCAGAAUGUCACGGUGAAUACGUUCCCGGGCCUUGUACACACCGCCCGUCACACCAUGGGAGUGGACUGCACCAGAAGUGGUUAGCUUAACCUUCGGGAAAGCGAUC